GGGGAAUUAGCUCAGCUGGGAGAGCGCAUCGCUGGCAGCGAUGAGGUCAUCGGUUCGAUCCCGUUAUUCUCCACCA
RNAcentral lists this transfer RNA (76 nucleotides) under Paenibacillus etheri. RNAcentral's name for it is "tRNA-Ala". It matches the Rfam family "tRNA". From Rfam's summary of the family: Transfer RNA (tRNA) molecules are approximately 80 nucleotides in length. Their secondary structure includes four short double-helical elements and three loops (D, anti-codon, and T loops). The record is from RNAcentral. Lineage: Bacteria; Bacillati; Bacillota; Bacilli; Caryophanales; Paenibacillaceae.